Molecule: ribosomal RNA, 888 nt
Filed under: uncultured bacterium
Lineage: Bacteria
Description: bacterial SSU rRNA
Rfam family: Bacterial small subunit ribosomal RNA
Source: RNAcentral
CAAAGAGAGAGCUGCGGUGUGUCUAAACAUGCAAGUCGAGCGGAGAAUUAGCAAUGGAUUUUUAGCGGCGGACGGGUGAGUAAUGCAUGGGCAACCUGCCUUCGAGUUGGGGAUAACCCCGGGAAACCGGGGCUAAUACCGAAUGAGACCACGGGGCCUUCGGGCCCUGAGGCCAAAGCUGGGGAUCGCAAGACCUGGCGCUUGAAGAGGGGCCCAUGUCCCAUUAGCUAGUUGGUGGGGUAACGGCCUACCAAGACAACGAUGGGUAGCCGGCCUGAGAGGGUGGUCGGCCACACUGGAACUGAGACACGGUCCAGACUCCUACGGGAGGCAGCAGUGGGGAAUUUUGCGCAAUGGGCGAAAGCCUGACGCAGCGACGCCGCGUGGAGGAUGAAGGUCUUCGGAUCGUAAACUCCUGUCAGGCGGGACGAAGGGGCCGGCGGCCAAUACCCGACGGUCCUGACGGUACUGCCAGAGGAAGCCCCGGCUAACUCCGUGCCAGCAGCCGCGGUAAUACGGAGGGGGCAAGCGUUGUUCGGAAUUACUGGGCGUAAAGGGCUAGUAGGCGGCCUCGUAAGUCAGAUGUGAAAGCCCUCGGCUCAACCGGGGAACUGCAUCUGAAACUGCGAGGCUUGAGUCCGGAAGAGGGGGGCGGAAUUCCCAGUGUAGCGGUGAAAUGCGUAGAUAUUGGGAGGAACACCGGUGGCGAAGGCGGCCCCCUGGACCGGUACUGACGCUCAGAAGCGAAAGCUAGGGGAGCGAAUGGGAUUAGAUACCCCGGUAGUCCUAGCUGUAAACGAUGGGCACUUGGUGUAGGCGGUAUCGACCCCGCCUGUGCCGAAGCUAACGCGUUAAGUGCCCCGCCUGGGGAGUACGGUCGCAAGGCUG